CCUACGGGCGGCUGCAGUGGGGAAUAUUGGACAAUGGGCGAAAGCCUGAUCCAGCCAUGCCGCGUGAGUGAUGAAGGCCUUAGGGUUGUAAAGCUCUUUCAGUGGGGAAGAUAAUGACGGUACCCACAGAAGAAGCCCCGGCUAACUUCGUGCCAGCAGCCGCGGUAAUACGAAGGGGGCUAGCGUUGUUCGGAUUUACUGGGCGUAAAGCGCACGUAGGCGGAUUGUUAAGUCAGGGGUGAAAUCCUGGGGCUCAAGUCCAGAACUGCCUUUGAUACUGGCAAUCUUGAGUCCGGAAGAGGUGAGUGGAACUCCUAGUGUAGAGGUGGAAUUCGUAGAUAUUAGGAAGAACACCAGUGGCGAAGGCGGCUCACUGGUCCGGUACUGACGCUGAGGUGCGAAAGCGUGGGGAGCAAACAGGAUUAGAUACCCGUGUAGUC
RNAcentral lists this ribosomal RNA (440 nucleotides) under uncultured bacterium. RNAcentral describes it as "partial 16S ribosomal RNA". It matches the Rfam family "Bacterial small subunit ribosomal RNA", at positions 338 to 795 of the family's 1533-position model. The record is from RNAcentral.